GGAAUAUUGGUCAAUGGGCGAGAGCCUGAACCAGCCAUGCCGCGUGCAGGAAGACGGCCCUAUGGGUUGUAAACUGCUUUUAUACGGGAAGAAACCCAUCUACGUGUAGGUGGCUGACGGUACCGUAAGAAUAAGGAUCGGCUAACUCCGUGCCAGCAGCCGCGGUAAUACGGAGGAUCCAAGCGUUGUCCGGAUUUAUUGGGUUUAAAGGGUGCGUAGGCGGAUUAUUAAGUCAGAGGUGAAAGCCGGUAGCUCAACUAUCGAAUUGCCUUUGAAACUGAUAGUCUUGAGUAUUGUUGAGGUAGGCGGAAUGUAUCAUGUAGCGGUGAAAUGCAUAGAUAUGAUACAGAACACCGAUUGCGAAGGCAGCUUACUAAGCAAUAACUGACGCUGAGGCACGAAAGCGUGGGGAUC
RNAcentral lists this ribosomal RNA (414 nucleotides) under uncultured bacterium. Its description in RNAcentral is "bacterial SSU rRNA". It matches the Rfam family "Bacterial small subunit ribosomal RNA", at positions 358 to 769 of the family's 1533-position model. The record is from RNAcentral.